This 470-nucleotide long non-coding RNA is filed under the name Heterocephalus glaber (naked mole-rat). RNAcentral describes it as "lncRNA (ENSHGLG00100036310.1)". The record is from RNAcentral. Lineage: Eukaryota; Metazoa; Chordata; Mammalia; Rodentia; Bathyergidae.
AACCAGAUGAGACAACAGCUCUUAGGUUAAUUAUCAGAGUACUUAACAUUCCUAGAUUGGUUGGAUCUUCAGAUUCUGUUCCUGAAGACAUGGAAGGGCCAACUACAUAUGCAUUCAGCAAGGUUAAAGAAAUGAGAUUCAAGAAAGACACUUAGAUCUUCACACAGAAAGAGUCCUUGUUUUGGACCUGGGGUUACUUUCCUCAAUAAGAAAGCUGUGAAGCUCACCUCAGAUGACCAAAUGGAAAGUGCAGCAGCCCAGCUGAUAUGUUCUGAUGCACAGUAGAUUAAGACUCCAGAGUGUUGCUGGGUGCGGACUUUGAAGCUGAGGUGCAGAAGGCUAAGCAGGCUUUUAGAGGCUGCUCUUGGUGUGUGCUAGCUGACCAGGAGAACUGAGAGCUGGUUGGUGUUCAAGGUAGUCUAGGAGAGGACACGCCCUUCUUACUGGGCCAUACGCCCUGCAAAGCCAGG